UAACGCGUGGGAACGUACCCUUCACUACGGAAUAGUCCCGGGAAACUGGGUUUAAUACCGUAUACGCCCUUCGGGGGAAAGAAUUUCGGUGAGGGAUCGGCCCGCGUUAGAUUAGUUAGUUGGUGGGGUAAUGGCCUACCAAGACUACGAUCUAUAGCUGGUUUGAGAGGAUGAUCAGCAACACUGGGACUGAGACACGGCCCAGACUCCUACGGGAGGCAGCAGUGGGGAAUCUUAGACAAUGGGGGCAACCCUGAUCUAGCGAUGCCGCGUGAGUGAUGAAGGCCUUAGGGUCGUAAAGCUCUUUCGCCUGUGAUGAUAAUGACAGUAGCAGGUAAAGAAACCCCGGCUAACUCCGUGCCAGCAGCCGCGGUAAUACGGAGGGGGUUAGCGUUGUUCGGAAUUACUGGGCGUAAAGCGCACGUAGGCGGAUUAGUCAGUCAGAGGUGAAAUCCCAGGGCUCAACCCUGGAACUGCCUUUGAUACUGCUAGUCUUGAGUUCGAGAGAGGUAAGUGGAAUUCCGAGUGUAGAGGUGAAAUUCGUAGAUAUU
This 551-nucleotide ribosomal RNA is filed under the name Celeribacter sp. Its description in RNAcentral is "bacterial SSU rRNA". It matches the Rfam family "Bacterial small subunit ribosomal RNA", at positions 111 to 698 of the family's 1533-position model. The record is from RNAcentral. Lineage: Bacteria; Pseudomonadati; Pseudomonadota; Alphaproteobacteria; Rhodobacterales; Roseobacteraceae.